RNAcentral lists this ribosomal RNA (405 nucleotides) under uncultured bacterium. RNAcentral's name for it is "partial 16S ribosomal RNA". It matches the Rfam family "Bacterial small subunit ribosomal RNA", at positions 30 to 526 of the family's 1533-position model. The record is from RNAcentral.
AUUGAACGCUGGCGGCAGGCUUAACACAUGCAAGUCGAACGAGUGGCGGACGGGUGUGUAAUGUUUGGGAAUCUGGGUUAUGGGGGGGGAUAACGACGGGAAACUGUCGCUACUACCGCUUACCAUAGGCUGAGCCCAGGUGGGAUUGGGUAGUUGGUGGGGGAAUGGCUAACAGGGCAGACGAGCACUCGUGGGUCUGAGAGGUGGACCAGCCACCCCGGGACUGAGACACGGCCCUGACUCCUACGGGAGGCAGCAGUAGGGAAUAUUGCGCAAUGGGGGCAACCUGACGCAGCCACGCCGCUUGAAUGAAGAAGGCCUUCGGGUUGUAAAGUUCUUUCGGUGACGAAGCGUUAACCACAGAAGAAGCACCGGCUAACUCCGUGCCAGCAGCCGCGGUAAUAC